Molecule: ribosomal RNA, 253 nt
Filed under: uncultured bacterium
Lineage: Bacteria
Description: partial 16S ribosomal RNA
Rfam family: Bacterial small subunit ribosomal RNA
Source: RNAcentral
UACGUAGGGGGCAAGCGUUGUCCGGAUUUAUUGGGCGUAAAGAGCGUGUAGGCGGCCAAGUAAGUCUGCUGUGAAAACUCGAGGCUUAACCUCGAGCUGUCGGCGGAAACUAUUUGGCUAGAGUCCGGAAGAGGAGAAUGGAAUUCCCGGUGUAGCGGUGAAAUGCGCAGAUAUCGGGAAGAACACCCGUGGCGAAGGCGGUUCUCUGGGACGGUACUGACGCUGAGACGCGAAAGCGUGGGUAGCAAACAGG